This 1412-nucleotide ribosomal RNA is filed under the name Cylindrospermopsis africana CHAB355. RNAcentral's name for it is "bacterial SSU rRNA". It matches the Rfam family "Bacterial small subunit ribosomal RNA". The record is from RNAcentral. Lineage: Bacteria; Bacillati; Cyanobacteriota; Cyanophyceae; Nostocales; Aphanizomenonaceae.
UUGAUCCUGGCUCAGGAUGAACGCUGGCGGUAUGCUUAACACAUGCAAGUCGAACGGGAUGCUUAGGCAUCUAGUGGCGGACGGGUGAGUAACGCGUGAGAAUCUGGCUCCAGGUCGGGGAUAACAGUUGGAAACGACUGCUAAUACCGGAUGUGCCGAGAGGUGAAAGAUUUAUUGCCUGGAGAUGAGCUCGCGUCUGAUUAGCUAGUUGGUGGUGUAAGGGACCACCAAGGCGUCGAUCAGUAGCUGGUCUGAGAGGAUGAUCAGCCACACUGGGACUGAGACACGGCCCAGACUCCUACGGGAGGCAGCAGUGGAGAAUUUUCCGCAAUGGGCGAAAGCCUGACGGAGCAAUACCGCGUGAGGGAGGAAGGCUCUUGGGUCGUAAACCUCUUUUCUCAAGGAAGAAGAAAGUGACGGUACUUGAGGAAUAAGCAUCGGCUAACUCCGUGCCAGCAGCCGCGGUAAUACGGAGGAUGCAAGCGUUAUCCGGAAUGAUUGGGCGUAAAGGGUCUGCAGGUGGAACUGAAAGUCUGCUGUUAAAGAGUUUGGCUUAACCAAAUAAAAGCGGUGGAAACUACAGAACUAGAGUGCGGUAGGGGCAAAAGGAAUUCCUGGUGUAGCGGUGAAAUGCGUAGAUAUCAGGAAGAACACCGGUGGCGAAGGCGUUUUGCUAGACCGUAACUGACACUGAGGGACGAAAGCUAGGGGAGCGAAUGGGAUUAGAUACCCCAGUAGUCCUAGCCGUAAACGAUGGAUACUAGGCGUGGCUUGUAUCGACCCGAGCCGUGCCGGAGCUAACGCGUUAAGUAUCCCGCCUGGGGAGUACGCACGCAAGUGUGAAACUCAAAGGAAUUGACGGGGGCCCGCACAAGCGGUGGAGUAUGUGGUUUAAUUCGAUGCAACGCGAAGAACCUUACCAAGACUUGACAUCCUGCGAAUCCUGGUGAAAGCUGGGAGUGCCUUAGGGAGCGCAGAGACAGGUGGUGCAUGGCUGUCGUCAGCUCGUGUCGUGAGAUGUUGGGUUAAGUCCCGCAACGAGCGCAACCCUCGUUUUUAGUUGCCAGCAUUAAGUUGGGCACUCUAGAGAGACUGCCGGUGACAAACCGGAGGAAGGUGAGGAUGACGUCAAGUCAGCAUGCCCCUUACGUCUUGGGCUACACACGUACUACAAUGCUACGGACAGAGGGCAGCGAGCCAGGGAUGGCAAGCGAAUCCAGAAACCGUAGCUCAGUUCAGAUCGAAGGCUGCAACUCGCCUUCGUGAAGGAGGAAUCGCUAGUAAUUGCAGGUCAGCAUACUGCAGUGAAUUCGUUCCCGGGCCUUGUACACACCGCCCGUCACACCAUGGAAGUUGGUCACGCCCGAAGUCAUUACCCCAACCGAAAGGAGGGGGAUGCCUAAGGUAGGACU